Molecule: ribosomal RNA, 253 nt
Filed under: uncultured bacterium
Lineage: Bacteria
Description: partial 16S ribosomal RNA
Rfam family: Bacterial small subunit ribosomal RNA
Source: RNAcentral
UACGAAGGGUGCAAACGUUGCUCGGAAUCAUUGGGCGUAAAGCGCACGUAGGCGGCUUCGCAAGUCGGAUGUGAAAUCCCUCGGCUCAACCGAGGACGUGCACCCGAAACUGCGAAGCUUGAGUACUGAAGAGGAUCGCGGAAUUCCCGGUGUAGAGGUGAAAUUCGUAGAUAUCGGGAGGAACACCAGUGGCGAAGGCGGCGAUCUGGGCAGAUACUGACGCUGAGGUGCGAAAGCGUGGGGAGCAAACAGG